This 301-nucleotide ribosomal RNA is filed under the name uncultured bacterium. RNAcentral describes it as "partial 16S ribosomal RNA". It matches the Rfam family "Bacterial small subunit ribosomal RNA", at positions 509 to 807 of the family's 1533-position model. The record is from RNAcentral.
CAGUAGCCGCGGUAAUACGUAGGGUGCAAGCGUUAAUCGGAAUUACUGGGCGUAAAGCGUGCGCAGGCGGUCCGCUAAGACAGAUGUGAAAUCCCCGGGCUUAACCUGGGAACUGCAUUUGUGACUGGCGGGCUAGAGUAUGGCAGAGGGGGGUAGAAUUCCACGUGUAGCAGUGAAAUGCGUAGAGAUGUGGAGGAACACCGAUGGCGAAGGCAGCCCCCUGGGCCAAUACUGACGCUCACGCACGAAAGCGUGGGGAGCAAACAGGAUUAGAUACCCGUGUAGUCCCUGUCUCUUAUAC